RNAcentral lists this transfer RNA (73 nucleotides) under Dipodomys ordii (Ord's kangaroo rat). It matches the Rfam family "tRNA". From Rfam's summary of the family: Transfer RNA (tRNA) molecules are approximately 80 nucleotides in length. Their secondary structure includes four short double-helical elements and three loops (D, anti-codon, and T loops). Further hydrogen bonds mediate the characteristic L-shaped molecular structure. tRNAs have two regions of fundamental functional importance: the anti-codon, which is responsible for specific mRNA codon recognition, and the 3' end, to which the tRNAs corresponding amino acid is attached (by aminoacyl-tRNA synthetases). tRNAs cope with the degeneracy of the genetic code in two manners: having more than one tRNA (with a specific anti-codon) for a particular amino acid; and 'wobble' base-pairing, i.e. permitting non-standard base-pairing at the 3rd anti-codon position. The record is from Rfam by way of RNAcentral. Lineage: Eukaryota; Metazoa; Chordata; Mammalia; Rodentia; Heteromyidae.
GCAGGUGUCAUUUAAGUGGUAGAGUACUUGCCUAGCAAGUGUGAAGUUCUGAGUUCAAACCUCAGUACUGGCA